This 565-nucleotide ribosomal RNA is filed under the name Salmonella enterica. RNAcentral's name for it is "partial 23S ribosomal RNA". It matches the Rfam family "Bacterial large subunit ribosomal RNA", at positions 2152 to 2716 of the family's 2925-position model. Lineage: Bacteria; Pseudomonadati; Pseudomonadota; Gammaproteobacteria; Enterobacterales; Enterobacteriaceae. The record is from RNAcentral.
AGGCUUUGAAGUGUGGACGCCAGUCUGCAUGGAGCCGACCUUGAAAUACCACCCUUUAAUGUUUGAUGUUCUAACGUGGACCCGUGAUCCGGGUUGCGGACAGUGUCUGGUGGGUAGUUUGACUGGGGCGGUCUCCUCCUAAAGAGUAACGGAGGAGCACGAAGGUUGGCUAAUCCUGGUCGGACAUCAGGAGGUUAGUGCAAUGGCAUAAGCCAGCUUGACUGCGAGCGUGACGGCGCGAGCAGGUGCGAAAGCAGGUCAUAGUGAUCCGGUGGUUCUGAAUGGAAGGGCCAUCGCUCAACGGAUAAAAGGUACUCCGGGGAUAACAGGCUGAUACCGCCCAAGAGUUCAUAUCGACGGCGGUGUUUGGCACCUCGAUGUCGGCUCAUCACAUCCUGGGGCUGAAGUAGGUCCCAAGGGUAUGGCUGUUCGCCAUUUAAAGUGGUACGCGAGCUGGGUUUAGAACGUCGUGAGACAGUUCGGUCCCUAUCUGCCGUGGGCGCUGGAGAACUGAGGGGGGCUGCUCCUAGUACGAGAGGACCGGAGUGGACGCAUCACUGGUGUU